RNAcentral lists this ribosomal RNA (488 nucleotides) under Pseudomonas sp. Z71. Its description in RNAcentral is "bacterial SSU rRNA". It matches the Rfam family "Bacterial small subunit ribosomal RNA", at positions 215 to 694 of the family's 1533-position model. The record is from RNAcentral. Lineage: Bacteria; Pseudomonadati; Pseudomonadota; Gammaproteobacteria; Pseudomonadales; Pseudomonadaceae.
GCGCUAUCAGAUGAGCCUAGGUCGGAUUAGCUAGUUGGUGAGGUAAUGGCUCACCAAGGCGACGAUCCGUAACUGGUCUGAGAGGAUGAUCAGUCACACUGGAACUGAGACACGGUCCAGACUCCUACKGGAGGCAGCAGUGGGGAAUAUUGGACAAUGGGCGAAAGCCUGAUCCAGCCAUGCCGCGUGUGUGAAGAAGGUCUUCGGAUUGUAAAGCACUUUAAGUUGGGAGGAAGGGCAGUUACCGUAAUACGUGAUUGUUUUGACGUUACCGACAGAAUAAGCACCGGCUAACUCUGUGCCAGCAGCCGCGGUAAUACAGAGGGUGCAAGCGUUAAUCGGAAUUACUGGGCGUAAAGCGCGCGUAGGUGGUUUGUUAAGUUGGAUGUGAAAUCCCCGGGCUCAWCCUGGGAACUGCAUUCAAAACUGACUGACUAGAGUAUGGUAGAGGGUGGUGGAAUUUCCUGUGUAGCGGUGAAAUGCGUAGA